ACACACACACACACACACACAGCUGUUAGAGCAACACUUCUAACAUUCAUCCUUACAUAGAGGAUCCCUCUUACCAUUACAAUGAAACAAUGCAUAAGAAGAGACAGAGAGACAGAGACAGAGAGACAGAGGGAGAGAGAAAGAGAGAGAGAAAGAGAGGGAGAGAGAUAGAAAGAGAGAGAGAGACAGACAGACAGAGAGACAGAGAGAGAGACACAGAGACAGAGAGAGAGAGAGAGAGAGAGAAAGUGACAGAGGGAGAGAGAAAGAGAGGGAGAGAGAUAGAAAGUGAAAGAGAGACAGAGACAGAGAGAAAGAGAGGGAGAGAGAUAGAAAGAGAGAGAGAAAGACAGAGACAGAGAGAAAGAGAGGGAGAGAGAUAGAGAGAGAUUAAGGGAGCUAUAUAGCCAUGGUCACAUUCUCCUGGCUAAUGUCAGGGAAAGACCACAGGGAUCUGAAGUGGUCAUCAAUCUAUGGUCCAUCUAUGAUCAAUCUAUGGUCAGAUACACUGUAAGUGAUGAAGUCAGAGAGUCCCAUUGAAAUGAAUUGCUAUGGAUAUGAUCACAACUAUAGGCUUGGCGUGGACAACCAAAAACUUUCCUUGAGUUCCCCUUCAAUGACCAUGACAAUUCCCUACUACAUUAAACAUUGGUCAUGUCCCAAAUGGCACCCUAUUCACUAUAUAGUGAACUACUUUUGACCAGAAUCCUAUUUUGGGACACAUCCACAGGGUUUGCAAUGUCACUCAGGGUGCUCUUGGAGAGAGAGACAGGAUAUCUGAAUCCCAAGACAGAGAUCUGUCCUCUCUCUGCCAUCCCAGCUGUCCAUCUGUCCGGCUGUCCGUCCUCAGCCUGUGACAUCAGUGUUAUGUGAAAACCCAGCCCACCACAUCCUCUCCAGGACAAUGGGGAAUAAUCAGCCAUGAUCUGUGUCAUCGGGUUACAGCACGGAAAUCAACACACAAUAUGUGUACUGUACACACAAACACACACAUUUCUAUCCACGCACACAUCCCUCACAUACUCAUACACACACACACACGCACACACGCACACACACACACACACACACACCUUGAUCUCCUAAGACUCCUACCUGUGUCCGUCAUUACUGAGAGGGGGAGACGUGUGUCUCACUGUACAGACGGACAUAAAUGAAUGACCUGUUGACACGGCUCCCUACCAUAACAGUGACUGUGUCUCAAAUGUUAUCCUAUUUCCUAUUUAGUCUACUACUUUACAUGACCGCAUAGGGCUCUGGUCAAGAGUAGUGCACUAUAUAUGGAAUAGGGUGCCAUUUGGGAAUUGGGACACAGCCGGUGUCAUUUGGGAGCUAGUGACAGCUUAUCUGUUAAACCAGUGACCUACCCCGCUCUCGCUCAUGUUCAUUCACAAGCACAAAACAGUAACAUAUACACAAACUCUAUAGUAGAGAAAUAUGAAUUUAUCAUUGCAUGUAUUUUUCUGAUGUGAGGGAGGAUUGAUUAACAGCUUGGAUUCCAGUAGAGGAAGUAUGUUACACCACAAACUGACAAAUAGCUAUAUCAAGAAGCUGGAUCCUCCGUUGCUUGCAACCACAGCCCACUGUGGUGGAAUUUCAUUAAUGGUUUGAUAACCAAACUGACAAAAAAUGUACCACCAGUCGCAAUCAUCUUGCCAGGUGCCAGAAAAUGACAUUAUAUAUUUGUGAGGAAAUGCCCAAGUCAAAUAAUUCCAUGAAAAACAUACAGCAGUUCGAUUUGUCAUGUAACAUUCCUUUACACUUCUUCAAACUUGAUAUAUGAUGCUUUACCAUCACAUUGUGUCUUGUAUGUACGUAAAAUGCAAUCAGGAAAAGGAACUUCGGGAGAUUAUUAUUUUUGCGUACCUAAAAAAAGAAUAAUUAUGAAACCACUGCACUACAGAUGAAGGAUCUUAAUUUGAUUACUCUUUUGUUUAUGAGAAUUUUCCUGCACAGAAGGAAAUGCAAACUUGUAAUGAAUUCAACUUUUUAAAAAGGCUUCUAAAGUUUGUAAUUACCACCCUAACUUCAAAUGUAUUAACGCCUACAAAAAAACGUCCAUUCGUUAUGAUCAACAUAAUAAUUAACAUUUCUUGUUGAUGAAGGAUUAUUUUCCUGCUGUAGCAAACUAGCUCAAAUGAAGAUCCUACAAGUGUAGGUCUUCAGAUCAACGUUGUAAACAGUUCCCAUGUGUUUCUGUACCAGUGGUCAGAUGUGUGGCUUCCCAAUGACACUAUGUGUGGGUAACCAAUGGCAUCCUAUUCUUUAUAUAAUGCACUACUUCGAGCUGAGUCAUAUGAGCCCUGGUCAAAAGUAGUGCAAUAUGUAGGGAUAAGGGUGCCAUUUGGGACGCAUAUGGCAUGACAGCGCAGGCAGUCUUGGUGUGAACAAGGCACUGGCUAUGUUGUUAUGGGAAAAAAGAACUAGGCAGACACAUUGGCUCUGAUGACUUCUGAGAUAUGUCUCUUCAUUUAGCCUCAUACACAAGGCAAUGAAUGAACCGCCACUAAUCAAUGUUACACAGGUUGUUGUGUGCUGUUGGCUAAAUGAUGACAUGACCUUUCUUGAUGAGAUCCAUACAAACACCGGGUUGACCGCUAGAGAGAAGAGUGUGUUCUGUAAAUGGUGAAUGACCUCAAACACAGCUGCUAUGUGUGUGAGGGGAGUGUGACAGUUAGACUCUGUUUUAAAAGUGGUAUGAGGAGGACAGUGUGACAGUUAGACUCUGUUUUAAAAGUGGUAUGAGGAGGACAGCGUGACAGUUGGACUCUGUUUUAAAAGUGGUAUGAGGAGGACAGUGUGACAGUUGGACUCUGUUUUAAAAGUGGUAUGAGGAGGACAGCGUGACAGCUGGACUCUGUUUUAAAAAAGUGGUAUGAGGAGGACAGCGUGACAGUUAGACUCUGUUUUAAAAGUGGUAUGAGGAGGACAGUGUGACAGUUAGACUCUGUUUUAAAAGUGGUAUGAGGAGGACAGCGUGACAGCUGGACUCUGUUAUAAAAAAGUGGUAUGAGGAGGACAGUUAGACUCUGUUUUAAAAAAGUGGUAUGAGGAGGACAGCGUGACAGUUGGACUCUGUUUUAAAAAAGUGGUAUGAGGAGGACAGUGUGACAGUUAGACUCUGUUUUAAAAGCGGUAUGAGGAGGACAGCGUGACAGUUAGACUCUGUUUUAAAAAAGUGGUAUGAGGAGGACAGCGUGACAGCUGGACUCUGUUAUAAAAAAGUGGUAUGAGGAGGACAGUUAGACUCUGUUUUAAAAAAGUGGUAUGAGGAGGACAGCGUGACAGUUGGACUCUGUUAUAAAAAAGUGGUAUGAGGAGGACAGUGUGACAGUUAGACUCUGUUUUAAAAGCGGUAUGAGGAGGACAGCGUGACAGUUAGACUCUGUUUUAAAAAAGUGGUAUGAGGAGGACAGCGUGACAGUUGGACUCUGUUUUAAAAGUGGUAUGAGGAGGACAGUGUGACAGCUGGACUCUGUUUUAAAAAAGUGGUAUGAGGAGGACAGCGUGACAGUUGGACUCUGUUUUAAAAGUGGUAUGAGGAGGACAGCGUGACAGUUGGACUCUGUUUUAAAAGUGGUAUGAGGAGGACAGCGUGACAGCUGGACUCUGUUAUAAAAAAGUGGUAUGAGGAGGACAGCGUGACAGUUGGACUCUGUUUUAAAAGUGGUAUGAGGAGGACAGCGUGACAGCUGGACUCUGUUUUAAAAGUGGUAUGAGGAGGACAGCGUGACAGUUGGACUCUGUUUUAAAAAAGUGGUAUGAGGAGGACAGCGUGACAGUUGGACUCUGUUUUAAAAGUGGUAUGAGGAGGACAGUCUGACAGCUGGACUCUGUUUUAAAAGUGGUAUGAGGAGGACAGUGUGACAGCUGGACUCUGUUAUAAAAAAGUGGUAUGAGGAGGACAGCGUGACAGUUAGACUCUGUUUUAAAAGUGGUAUGAGGAGGACAGCGUGACAGUUAGACUCUGUUUUAAAAGUGGUAUGUGGAGGACAGUGUGACAGUUAGACUCUGUUUUAAAAGUGGUAUGAGGAGGACAGUGUGACAGUUAGACUCUGUUUUAAAAGUGGUAUGAGGAGGACAGCGUGACAGCUGGACUCUGUUAUAAAAAAGUGGUAUGAGGAGGACAGUGUGACAGCUGGACUCUGUUUUAAAAGUGGUAUGAGGAGGACAGCGUGACAGUUGGACUCUGUUUUAAAAAAGUUGUAUGAGGAGGACAGCGUGACAGUUGGACUCUGUUUUAAAAGUGGUAUGAGGAGGACAGCGUGACAGUUGGACUCUGUUUUAAAAGUGGUAAGAGGAGGACAGCGUGACAGUUGGACUCUGUUUUAAAAGUGGUAUGAGGAGGACAGUGUGACAGCUGGACUCUGUUAUAAAAAAGUGGUAUGAGGAGGACAGCGUGACAGUUAGACUCUGUUUUAAAAGUGGUAUGAGGAGGACAGCGUGACAGUUAGACUGUUUUAAAAGUGGUAUGUGGAGGACAGUGUGACAGUUAGACUCUGUUUUAAAAGUGUGGUAUGAGGAGGACAGCGUGACAGUUAGACUCUGUUUUAAAAUGGUAUGAGGAGGACAGUGUGACAGCUGGACUCUGUUAUCAAAAAGUGGUAUGAGGAGGACAGCGUGACAGUUAGACUCUGUUUUAAAAGUGGUAUGAGGAGGACAGCGUGACAGUUAGACUCUGUUUUAAAAGUGGUAUGAGGAGGACAGCGUGACAGUUAGACUCUGUUUUAAAAGUGGUAUGUGGAGGACAGUGUGACAGUUAGACUCUGUUUUAAAAGUGGUAUGAGAAGGACAGUGUGACAGUUAGACUCUGUUUUAAAAGUGGUAUGAGGAGGACAGCGUGACAGCUGGACUCUGUUAUAAAAAAGUGGUAUGAGGAGGACAGCGUGACAGCUGGACUCUGUUUUAAAAGUG
RNAcentral lists this long non-coding RNA (4914 nucleotides) under Salmo salar (Atlantic salmon). Its description in RNAcentral is "lncRNA (ENSSSAG00000119582.1)". Lineage: Eukaryota; Metazoa; Chordata; Actinopteri; Salmoniformes; Salmonidae. The record is from RNAcentral.